RNAcentral lists this ribosomal RNA (467 nucleotides) under uncultured bacterium. Its description in RNAcentral is "bacterial SSU rRNA". It matches the Rfam family "Bacterial small subunit ribosomal RNA", at positions 330 to 795 of the family's 1533-position model. The record is from RNAcentral.
UCCAGACUCCUACGGGAGGCAGCAGUGAGGAAUAUUGGUCAAUGGGCGGGAGCCUGAACCAGCCAAGUCGCGUGAGGGACGACGGUCCUAUGGAUUGUAAACCUCUUUUGUCGGGGAACAAAGGCGUCCACGGGUGGGCGGAUGAGUGUACCCGAAGAAAAAGCAUCGGCUAACUCCGUGCCAGCAGCCGCGGUAAUACGGAGGAUGCGAGCGUUAUCCGGAUUUAUUGGGUUUAAAGGGUGCGUAGGCGGACAGUCAAGUCAGCGGUAAAAAUGCGGUGCUCAACGCCGUACAGCCGUUGAAACUGGCAGUCUCGAGUUGGAGAGAAGUAUGCGGAAUGCGCGGUGUAGCGGUGAAAUGCAUAGAUAUCGCGCAGAACUCCGAUUGCGAAGGCAGCAUGCCGGCUCCACACUGACGCUGAGGCACGAAAGCGUGGGUAUCGAACAGGAUUAGAUACCCCCGUAAAC